This 1146-nucleotide long non-coding RNA is filed under the name Homo sapiens (human). RNAcentral's name for it is "HSALNT0402015". The record is from RNAcentral. Lineage: Eukaryota; Metazoa; Chordata; Mammalia; Primates; Hominidae.
GCAAUCUGCUCGGGGCACCUUCCACGGUGUGGGAGGUUUGUUCUUUCGCUUUUUGGGACCACGUCGUCUUUAUGAGCUGUAACACUCACCGCAAAGGUCUGCAGCUUUACUCCUGAAGCCAGCGAGACCACGAGCCCGCCGGGAGGAAGGAACAACUCCAGAUGCGUCGCCUUAAGAGCUGUAACACUCACUGCCCGAAGGUCUGCAGCUUCGCUUCUGAGCCAGCGAGGCCAUAAACCACCAGAAGGAAGAAACUCCAAACACAUCUUAACAUCAGAAGGAACAGACUCCGGAUGCGCUGCUUUUAAGAACUGUAACACUCACCGCGAGGCUCCGCAGCUUCAUUCUUGAAGUCAGUGAGACCAAGAACCCACCAAUUCCGGACACAACAUCACCUCUGUCAGCUUCAUUUUCCAUAUCUAUAAAAUGGAGAUAAUCACAAUACCUAUCUUUUAGGGCUGGUCUGGAAACUACAGGAGAUGGAGCAUCUAAAGCGCUUAGCAUAGGGUGAUGCUCAAAAGAGCUAUUAUUACCAUCAUCGUCUAGACUAGAGGUUCUCAGUCUUGGCUGCAUCUUAGAAUCACCUGGGGAGCUUUUAAAAAAUAUUAAUUUCCUCUUUUCUAGCCCAGGCGUACUAAAUCAGAAUCUCUAAGGGUGCAGUGUAAACAUCACAGUUUUUAAAAAGCUGCCCAGGAUUCCAAAUGAUCUACAGCCUUGGUACUUAACUCUGGUUCACGGCCCAGCAACCUCUGCUGGGAAUUUGGUAGAAAUGUGGAUUUUUAGGCCCAUCGUAGACCUACUGAAUCUGCAUUUUAUAAAAAGAUACCCCAGAUCCUAAACCUCCUUAAGAAGGUCAAGGCACGCAGACCACACUGAGUAGUGAAGGAGAGAAUCCAGGGUAGCUACAUAACCUCACGAAAUCCCUUCCUUGUGAUCUGUCUUUUCCUUCACUUCCUUCUUCAGAUGCUCCUAAAAGUAGGGGUUGGGAGGAAACAACCAACUGAAAUAUUUGGAGUGGGCGUGUGUGAGUAAUAAGAAUCCCUUAACAUUUCUACAGACAGUUCUAUUAGUAAGAGUAGUUCACGUAUGAUUUCACUUGACCCUAAUUAGGAACAGCCCUGGCAUCAUUUUCCCCACCAUGCAGCA